CUCUUAAAUAUUUAAGGAAUUCAAAAAGUUAAUGUAUUUAUCAUAAAGUGGUCCUUCUCAUUUGUUCUACUGGAAUUGACCAUUAAAAAGAGAAUAUUAAGCCUUAUUUAUAUCUGAUUAUUGACUGCAAACUGUGACUCAAUGAAUACUUGUAUGCCAAAAAAAAAAAAGGUUUUAAAGUUGAGAUAGUUUUAGACUUAAUAAAGAUGUGUAAAUAAUUUUGAUUAGUAUUCUCAUUAUAAUGAAGUUACUGUUAAUUUGGUGCAAUACGUUCUUCCCUUUCUCAUCCUUUUAAAAUUAAAUAUAUAAGAUGUAUGUUUUGUUUUGUUACAUUGAAUGUUUUAAAAUUUUUCAGUGUGUGUAUAUGAGCUAGUUUGAUUGUUUCUGUAUAGCAUGAUUGAAGAUAAUUGAAAAAUUUGCACAUUUUUUAGUCAUUUGGAAAUUUGUAGUCUAACAGUUUUUAAGAAUAUGCAUUUAUUUUGUAAAUAAUAAAUUAGCUUUGUAUAUGAAAAUGAGUUUGAAUCAAAUAAAAAAGUAAUGUUACUUUCUUC
This 551-nucleotide long non-coding RNA is filed under the name Bos taurus (domestic cattle). RNAcentral describes it as "long non-coding RNA NONBTAT011487". Lineage: Eukaryota; Metazoa; Chordata; Mammalia; Artiodactyla; Bovidae. The record is from RNAcentral.